GAAACAGCCCAGAUCACCAGUUAAGGCCCCAAAGUAAUUACUAAGUGGUAAAGGAUGUAAAGGUACUUUGACAACCAGGAGGUUUGCUUAGAAGCAGCAAUCCUUUAAAAAGUGCGUAAUAGCUUACUGGUCAAGUGCAUUUGCGCCGAAAAUGAAAUGGGACUAAGUAAUUCGCCGAAGCUGUGGGAUUAUUUUCGGUAGAAGAGCGUUCUGUCCGAGUAGAAACAGUAAUGUAAAUAGCUGUGGAUUAGACAGAAGUGAGAAUGUCGGCUUAAGUAACGAAAACAUUGGUGGAAAUCCAAUGCUCCGAAAACCUAAGGAUUCCUCCGCAAGGUUCGUCCACGGAGGGUUAGUCAGGGUCUAAAAUGNGGUCUAACGACGUAGUUGAUGGAAAACAGGUUAAUAUUCCUGUACUAUAUUUGUUUAAUUAGUUAAAAGAGACGGAAUAUUUAAAGGUUAACCAGGUUUUGGGUAUUAUUUGGAUCAUUUGGGUUUUGAAUGAAUAGUGGUGCUACGGUGUCACAAUUAGUUGAUAUUUAUUUCCAAGAAAAUCUUUUAUAUUAAUCUAUAAUAGCAAAUAUACCUGUACCUUAAACUGACACAGGUAGGUUGGUAGAGAAUACUAAGGAGCGCGAGAUAACUCUUUCUAAGGAACUCGGCAAAAUAACUCUGUAACUUCGGGAGAAAGAGUGCCUUGUUGUUAUUCAAUAAGGUCGCAGUAAACAGACCCAGGCGACUGUUUACCAAAAACACAGGUCUCCGCUAAGUCGAAAGACAAUGUAUGGGGGCUGACGCCUGCCCAGUGCNNNNNNNNNNNNNNAAUUGGUUAGCGUUGCGAAGCUAGUGGCUGAAGCCCUGGUGAACGGCAGCCGUAACUAUAACGGUUCUAAGGUAGCGAAAUUCCUUNUCAGGUAAGUUCUGAACCGCACGAAAGGCGUAACGAUCUGGGUACUGUCUCGGAAAGAGACUCGGUGAAAUAGAAUUGACUGUGAAGAUGCGGUCUACUUGCACUUGGACAGAAAGACCCUAUGAAGCUUUACUGUAAUUUGAAAUUGGUUUUGGGUUUCUCUUGCGCAGCAUAGGUGGAAGGCAUAGAUUCUCUCUUUCGGGAGACGAGGAGCCAUAAGUGAGAUACCACUCUAGAGAAAUUAGAAAUCUAAUUGUAUUCUUUUAACAAGAUACUUGACAGUUUCAGAUGGGCAGUUUUACUGGGGCGGUAGCCUCCUAAAAAGUAACGGAGGCGUACAAAGGUUUUCUCAGGCUGGACGGAAAUUAGUUGUAGAGUAUAAAGGCAUAAGAAAGCUUAACUGUUAGACUCACAAGUCGAUCAGGGACGAAAGUCGGUCUUAGUGAUCCGACGGUUCUGAGUGGAAAGGCCGUCGCUCAACGGAUAAAAGUUACUCUAGGGAUAACAGGCUGAUCUCCCCCAAGAGUUCACAUCGACGGGGAGGUUUGGCACCUCGAUGUCGGCUCAUCGCAACCUGGGGCGGUAGUACGUCCCAAGGGUUGGGCUGUUCGCCCAUUAAAGCGGUACGUGAGCUGGGUUCAGAACGUCGAGAGACAGUUCGGUCCAUAUCCGGUGUAAGCGUUAGAGUAUUGAAAGGAUCUUUCCUUAGUACGAGAGGACCGGGAAAGACGCACCACUGAUGUGCCAGUUCUUAUUCCCAUAGGAUACGCUGGGUAGUCAAGUGUGGA
This 1695-nucleotide ribosomal RNA is filed under the name Discoplastis gasterosteus. RNAcentral describes it as "partial large subunit ribosomal RNA". It matches the Rfam family "Bacterial large subunit ribosomal RNA", at positions 1019 to 2759 of the family's 2925-position model. The record is from RNAcentral. Lineage: Eukaryota; Euglenozoa; Euglenophyceae; Euglenales; Phacaceae.